Molecule: non-coding RNA, 26 nt
Filed under: Rattus norvegicus (Norway rat)
Lineage: Eukaryota; Metazoa; Chordata; Mammalia; Rodentia; Muridae
Source: RNAcentral
UGGACUUCAGAGUGGGGUUUUUUAAA